AAUGAUUUCUCAAUAGCCUGGACCAGGUCAAACAGUAUGAGGUUGAUCUUUCAAAAUUUGUUGGGUGAGAGUAUUUUUAUUUCAAUCACAUGCAGCUGGAGCUAUUGCAUGCUAUUUGCUGGCUAUUCUUUUCUCAAACACCUUUUGCUGGCCUAAGAGGGAUGCUUCUCCAACAAAUAAUACCUGUAUUCUCUAGCUGAAGGGCAGUCUCUCUGAGCAGGAGGGGAUGAUCUGACAUGAAUAAAUUACAGAAUGAAGUACGCUGUUCCAAGUCAAGGCGGCUGCGGCUCCCACUGCUCUCACCUCGAUGACCUUCCUUUGUGCUGAAGGUGUUAUACUUCCCACUGGAGUCUGCAGACUUUUUGUGAUGCUUGCCUCCCGGUGUGGUGGAACUUGGGCGCUGGAGAGUGGAUGAGAGGUUAGUCUGGGACCUCACCUCCAAGCUGUCUGGCCCUGAUGAUGCGGAGUCCAAUAGGGGACUCCGUCUUGGAGGAACUGCCGGAGGCUGAAGGUGCCGUGUCGGACUACGGGGUUUCUUCUGUAUCGUUCCUCCUGUGCUGGGCGAGACCGGGAAUUCUGUUUUCUCCUCAAGUAAAGGCUGGUACCCUUCCCUUGUGGCCACCAGAAGACGCAUGUGGCUCUCAUUAAGCCUUGGCCUUCCCUCGGGUGCUGUGUCCUCAUCUGAACUGUCCCGGAAGCCUGGCGGUGGAGCUGCGAUCGCGAGGUUGAGCGUCUGCAGCAGUGUGUCGUCUUCAUCGUCGUCAACGCCGUCGUCUCCCUCAGGAGGAGGCAGUGACGUCAGGUCGAUGAUGUCAUCGGUAGACCCAGACAGCGCGAGGAAGGUAGCUUUGCCGGCUGCUGUGGCUAUCCCGCCUCCUUGGUUACCGCAGUUUUCAUCUCCACCUCCUCUGUCGUCACCCACUGGUGUCCCCCCCAUGGAGUCUUCUUCGCAGGAAGCAUCGUCAUCAUCCUCUGCAUCAUCCGUUGUGUCACGAUAAAACAGAUCCCUUAGCAGUGGCUCCUCACCACCUUCCUCACUUAUAAUGUUACUAUAGACAUGCGUCAGACCACUGAACUGAAAUGGCACCCUGUCCUGUGGCUGAAAGUCUGUGUUGUUGUGCAAGUAGGGCGGUCUGUGCUCAGGUACCUCAGGACUCUCCAACAGUCUUUCAUAGCCUACGUUCUUGGCCUUGUUCAAGGGUGGGUCCCCUCCAAAAAUAAAUGACACUUUGGCGCUCCGAGGUGAGUCUUGAGGUUUGUGUCUGGUAGCAGGUGGAAGAGGAGGGGGCAACGGACUUCUCCGUGCCCCAAGGUCUCUGUCAGGGUUUUGAGGUUCGUGGAAGUAAGGAGAGAUGCUGUUUUCUCUCUGCCCAUUGUCUGAAUACUCAGAGUCCCUGUUAUAGACCUCUCCCUGGGUGGGUGAUGAUGGCUCCUCGUUGUCCCCCAAAGAUGUGCUGUACGGCCACUCCAGGACACGAUCCUGACCUGCAGACAGCAGCAAUACAAGAUGCUGCAGAGACUGCUAAUUUUGUCGAGGGUGCCUCAAGGGAGUGGAACACACACACACACACACACCUUGAUAGAGGUACUGCUGUCGAAGCGAAAAGACUUUGUCUGACCGUUCUCCAGGUAGACCUUCAGGACAUUUGGCAUGAACAGAAGAGAAUUGUCCUUCACCGGGUUCUACAAAGGGGGAAUACGACCAGUGUUUUCAUUCUGUGCAUUUGUGAUCACUUUGUGAACAGAGGACAAAUAUGGUUUAAUAUGUGAAAGGAACUCAUAAAUGUCAUGUCAUAACA
This is a long non-coding RNA of Micropterus dolomieu (smallmouth bass), 1799 nucleotides long. RefSeq lists it as uncharacterized. The transcript has 4 exons. The record is from RefSeq and is a predicted model, not a curated record. Lineage: Eukaryota; Metazoa; Chordata; Actinopteri; Centrarchiformes; Centrarchidae.